AGAUCUGGCAAACUGGAGAAACAGAAGUGAAGAUCUCUGCUUGCACUGAGAGCUGAUUCCUCAAGAUGCACAGCCUGUCAACUCCUUGUGGCCUGCUCGACACCGCAGUGCAGAAACUGGGACACAAGUUAUGUCUUCCUACUGUAUCUCGGCCUUCUCCAGGCAGGUACCCAGACCUCCAGUGUGGAGACAGUCCAGCUGGCUCAAUUCACGUAAAGCCCAGUGAGAAAGACACAAGGAGGCCCCAGAAUAACUCUGAAACGUUUUUGGGUGCCAUCCUACAAGGUGAAAGAAAUGGGCUGAGCUGCUUUUAGGUAGAAAAGAGGGAUGAAUCCAGCACAUCACACACCAUGGGUAAGGACUCGAACUAUGGCCCUUCAAGGAAGAAGGCCACUCACAUCAUUAAGAGAUGUGCUCAAUUAAUCUCUCUCUGGACUAAAGGCCCAGCCAUGGGACAAGGCAGUAUUUACAAAAAGCACAGGAGACA
This is a long non-coding RNA of Manacus vitellinus (golden-collared manakin), 487 nucleotides long. RefSeq lists it as uncharacterized. The record is from RefSeq and is a predicted model, not a curated record. The transcript has 3 exons. Lineage: Eukaryota; Metazoa; Chordata; Aves; Passeriformes; Pipridae.